Bos taurus (domestic cattle) is the source of this 72-nucleotide non-coding RNA. Lineage: Eukaryota; Metazoa; Chordata; Mammalia; Artiodactyla; Bovidae. The record is from Rfam.
UCCCUAGUGGCUCAGAUGGUAAAGCAUCCACUUACAAUGCGGGAGACCUGGGUUCAAUCCCUGGGUUGGGAA